GAGCCUGCCACCAGGUCAGACAUGCUGAGUCUUUUCCGGUAAGACACCACCUCGUGGUGCUACACAGAUUAUUAGAAAUGGGUUAAUCAAGAUGUGAGAAUUAACCAGUAAGAGGCUAGAGCUAAUGGGGCAGGUAGUGUUUAAAUGAAUACAAUUUGUGUGUUGUUAUUUCCGGGGCUAAGCUAGCCGAGUGGGAGUCGGGCCAGAUGAAAAGCAGGCCUGCCCGCUCUCGUCACUACAAGGAUUACACCUGUAAUCCUAGCACUCAAAAAGGUGAAGCAAGAGGAGCACCACAGACCCAGGGUGAGAUCUUGCUUCAAAAAAGAAUAAUUAAUUUUAGAAAAGUUUAAACUGAAAGAAGAGGUCCUCAGAUCACACAAACUAGAAAGUAAGGGCAGAGGAGAUGGCCCCGAGGGUAAAGGAGCCCACGGUCAGUCCAAGGAGUCAACUCCCAAGUUGUCCUCUGACUGACACACAAACACAGAAAUAAAUGCAAUAUAAACAUAUUUCCAGCCAGGCAGUGGCUGUGCACACCUUUAAUCCCAGCACUCGGGAGACUGAGGUGAAUGGAUCAAGGCCAGCCUGGUCUGCAGAGUGAGUUCCAGGGCUACACAGAGAAAUCCUGUCUCAACAUGACAAAAGUGUGUGUGUGUGAAAAUAAGUUGCCAAGACCAUGCAAUGGUGCGUGCUUGUAUUCCAAACACUGAAGAAGUAGAUGAAGGGUUUCAAGGUCAGCUUCAGCUACAUACUAAAUUCAGGGCCAACCUGGGCUACAUGAAACAAAUGUCUCCAACACUCAUUGUCUAAGAGUCAAGAUAGCAAAAGACAAAACAAUACUAACAAUUAAAUCACAAUGAGAGAUGAGCCAGAGGCCUGCACAAGCUGCUGGGAGAAGCCUUCAAGCACCUGGAGGUGAGGACAUAGGGGAGAUGUGGCUAUUCACCAGAUGAGUUCACAACACAGAGCAUGAUGGUAGGGGACACUGAGGUCUGCAAGACCAUCAGUGUGGGGUGAGAAUGUGCAGCUCAGGAGGACUGGAGCAGAGCACACAGGGCAGGUGGACAGGAGAGUCAGAUCUCGUGGGGCUCUGGAGACUGGAUAUUGUUUGUGCCUGGGAACUGGAGUUUCAGUCCUCGGAAUGAAGGGGGUCUUCGAAUGCCUCUUUGAGCAGAUUAUCCAAACGUUCUCCCACCUGCCCUUCAGGACGUUCAUGCUGCAGGACUUACAAGAAGCGAACUGGGUAGAUCAUUCAGAAGCAAUUGCAGGAAUGCAGGAGAAUUAAUGGGAUUCAAACCAGGGCAGUAGCAGUGGAGAUAUAAGGAAGGGGACACGGGAGAGGAAAGGCUCGGAGCCUGGGAGGAUAUCGGGUGCCCUGGAACAGGGAGGAAGCGAUGGUCCACAUUCCCCCAAGACGAGGCACAAGGAAGAGGAGGCGUGCAGGAGACAGUUUUCUUGGAGCCAGGUAGACUUGAGGGGCCUGUGGUAGGUCCAAGAGGAGCUGUCUAGCCUUUGUUUGGACACAGCCACAGCACAGGAAGAUCGUCCAGUGAGCUGAGUGCUGAUAGCAGAGCCCAGGAAAUCCGCCCUUGAAGUAGCAGGCUCAAAGAAGAAAGAGAGCAGUGAACAGCUAAGAGAAGUCAGAGACUUGGGGCACCUAGACGGAGAGGAGCCUGGGUAGUCGGUGAAGCCGUCUUCGAAGUCGGACUUGGGCCAUUCAUUGUUUGCAGAGUAUGUCCCACCUCAGAGCUCAGUUUACGCUCUCAAUAACAGUGUAAACAGAAAUCAUCCCGAGAAACUAGGCUCAGAUAACAGCAGACUACAGACUCACUACUAAUUAACCCAAGAAUUGAACCUUGUUCCCAAACGUUCUGACCAAAGCCAGGCCCUUCUCUUUCCUCUGUCCAUCAAGUUUUCCCUACCUUCUGGGACCCCGCAGAGGCAGCGGUUCCCAGAACCCCGGAGGCAGCAUACUUAGGUGGGAAGCCCCUCUGCAUGCCUGCUCGCACAGCCUCUCCGUCUUGUGUCUUAGCUUUUCGCUGCUCUGAAUUCUCCUCGUUCAAACCCUAGCUGGAGUCUUCCUUCAGUGUCCCUGAAGAGUCCAGCUAGAACUAACAUUUCCCUUUUCUAAAUUCCUGAGGCCAACGCAGUUCCAGAGGACUCCUGAUGAGUCACGCGCUUGUGUAACUCCCUCCCUCAGAGCAAGACUGGCCCUUCUGGCGUUUGGAAGGCUAAGAGCCACCUAGGAGGAAAGCCACACAUGUGAAGCCUCAGAGAACUCCAGGACCCGAGCGGCUCUUGGGGACAGCACAAAUAAAGGACCCGGGUUUGAUGGACAGCACCCACGUAGUGCCCCAUAACCAUCUAUAACCCCAGUUCCAGAGGAUCCCACACCUUCUUCUGACAUCCAAGGGCUCCAGACAUGAGAAUGCUGUACAGACAGACCUACAGGAGAAUCUCAGAUACAGGAAGGAAAGCAAGCAAGCUUUCUUUAGUGUUCUCCUGUCUCACACCUAAUAUGCCAACCCAACCGUUGACAAAAUAAAGCAAACAAACACACAAAAACAACUACCAUGACUAGGCUUUUUGAGUUUUUUUUUCUUGGGGUUUGUUUGGUUGUUUGGUGUUUUGAGAUAAGGUUUCUCUGUGUAGCUUUGGAACCUGUCCUGGAACUUGCUCUGUAGACCAGGCUGGCCUCAAACUUGCAAAGAUCCCCCUGCCUCUGCCUCCCAAGUGCUGGGAUUAAAAGUGUGCACCACCAUCACCUGGCUUUACCACGGCUAGUUUUAGUCAAGACUUUCUUCUGGGACUUAGAGAAGACCUGUCACUGUAUAGUACAGCUUCCAGUGAGUACCAGAGUCGAAUUGAAGCUCUGCAAAUACAAAGGGUGACGGCAAGAAGGGUGGAUUUGGGUAAGCUGCCACAUGGUGCCACCUCAUCUUCAUGUAGAAGUUUCAAAAAACAAAAAGAAUUUACAGGACACUUACAAAAAAUAGCUUAAUUUUUAAAAAUGAAGUACAUGCUACAACAGGGUAGCUUUGCUCAAGCUCAAGUCGACUUCCUGUUGCCUCUGAGUCAAGAUGUAAGGACUGUCAGCUCCAGCACCACAUCUGCCUGCAUGCCACCAUGCUCCCUGAUGUGAUGAUAAUGGACAGAGCCUUUGAAACUGUAAGCAAGCCACCCCAAUUAAAUGUUUCCUUUAUAAGAGGUGCCAAGGUCAUGGUGUCUCUUCACAGCAAUAAAAACCCUAAGACAGAAAUUGGUACCAGAAGUGGGGUACAGCUGUGAUAGGCCUGACCAUGUGUUUGUUUAGUGGAAUUUGGAUUUCGGUACUUUUGGGAAAGUAGUGGAAUGUUUUAAGUGCUGCUUAAUGGGCCAUAUUAGUAGGAGCAUGGAAGACAGUGGCGCUGAUAAUGAUUUGAAGUGUCAGGAGCUGGCUCAAGAGGUUUCAGAGGAGAAUUUUAGUAUGUUGCCUAGAAACCGUUUUUGUGAUAUUUGGGUGAAGAUAAUGACUGCCUUUUGCCCUUGUACAAGUCUGACUGUGGCUAAAGUGAAGAGUCUUAGAUUAAUUUCCAUGGAAGAAGAAAUCUCAAAACAGCUCAGUAUAUCUCUGUCGUGUGGUUUUAGUGGUAACUCUAACUAAGUAGAACCAGCUGAGCAGGGUAAACUACAAGAUGUAAAUUUUAAGGAGAAAAAGUAGAAUGGUUCAAGGAGAUAAACAGACAAAAUGAAAUACAGGGAAUGGUGGCCUAAAGGCCAGAUCCCACCCAGGUAAACUUCUAACUUGUGGGAUGGAAUAUAGAAGAGUUUGGAGCCAGGUGUGUUGGCACACCUUUAACCCCAGCGCUAGGAAGGCAGAGGCUGGCAGAUCUCUGAGUUUGAAGACUGCCUGGUCUAAAUAGCAAGUUCAAGGACAGCCAGGCUUAGGCAGUGAGGGACAAAAGAAAGUUGUGAAGAUGUAGCUAAACAGUCCCAGCAAGCAGUAGAACUUGGCAGCUUCAGCCAUGUGGUUCCGACUUUAGAGUUAAAGACAGAGAAAGGAAUUAUGGAAUAAAGUUAAAGGUCAGGCACUGUCAGUGGUAUCCUUGAAUGGAGGCCUAACAGAGAGGCCAUUUUGUGAAACUGUGAAGGGGAAGCCUGGAUCACCUGGGAGAACCUAAGAUGUUAGAGAUUCCCAUUGUGGGAUACCUGCCGAGAAGAGCUGCUAACAGGAAGUGGAAACAGCUCAAGGGAAAGAAGUGUGUACCAGGAUAGGCACCAAAGCUACCCAGAGAAACUCUGUCUCAAAAAUAAACAAAUAAGUAAAUAAAAUUAGAGAGCCUUUAUCAGAAGACAGAGGCAGGUGGAGCUCAAUAAGUUUGAACCAGCCUGGUCUACAUAGCAAAAUUCAGGACAACCUGGGUUGCACAGAGAAAGCAGUGAAAAUAUCCAGACCUAAAGCGAAAAAAAUAAUUGCUAAACUUGAAAACUGUGUUAGUUCGUGGUUGUUUCUAACAGCCAUUUAUGCUGAAUUUCACCCACCUUUAUCUGAGAAUGAUAACUGUUUACCAGCAUCAACCAUUGCUUGUUUUCCACCUUGUGCCAUCUUCCCCUUUACUCAGAUCCUCAGUUGGGUUUCAUGGGCUUUCUAAUGUCUUAUUUAUUUAUUUAUUUAUUUAUUUAUUUAUUUAUUUAUUGGUUUUCCAGACAAGGUUUCUUUGUGAAACAGCUCUUGCUGUUCUAGAACUCGCUCUGUAGACCAAGUUGGCCUCAAACUCACAGAGACCCACCUGCCUCUGCCUCCUAAGUGCUAGAAUUAAAGACUUGUGCCACUAUGCCCAGCCUUAUUUAUUCUUUUAAUGUAUUUACUGGCAGAGUUUCUCUGUUUAGACCUGGCUGGCCUGGAACUGACUGUGUAGACCAGGUUGAUCUCAAACUCAUGUUGAACCUCCUACCUCUGCCUCUUGAGUGCUAGGAUGCGGUGGUUUGAAUGAAAAUGGUCCCCAGAAACUCCUAUGUUUAAAUACUUGGUCCCCAGUUGGUGGAACUGUUUGGGAAAGAUUAGGAGGUGUGGCUUUGUUAGAGGAAGUGAGUCACUGGGGGUGGGCUUUGAGAUUUUAAAAGGCUAUUAGUUCCUAGUUCUCUCUCCGCCUUGAGGUUGUGUCUCAAGAGUGCUCACUGGAUGGUGGUGGUGCAUGCCUUUAAUCCCAACACUGGGAGGCAGAGACAGGAGGAUCUCUGUCAGUCCAAGGCCAUUCUGGUCUACAGAGUGAGUGCCAGGGCAGUCAGGGCUACACAGAGAAACCGUAUCUCAAAAAAUGAAACAAAAAACAAGAUGUAAGCUCUCAGCUAUUGUACCAGUGCUGGUGUAGGAGGUCCUUCUGUUUAUGUGUUGCUUUCAUUGGUUGACUAAAGAAACUGCCUUGACCUUUUGAUAGGGCAGAACUUAGGUAGGCAGAGUAGACAGAAUUGAAUGCUGGGAAGAAGGGCAGACAGAGAGCCAACAUGGAGCCGUCAGGUCAGACAUGCUGAAUCUUUCUUGGUAAGCCACAACCUCAUGGUGAUAUACAAAUUACUAGAAAUGGGUUAAAUCAAGAUGUGAGAGUUAGCCAAUAAGAGGCUAGAGAUAAUGGGCCAGGCAGUGAUUUAAUCAAUACAAUUUCUGUGUGGUUAUUUCGGGUGUAAGCUAGCAGGGCGGUCGGGAGCAAAAGCAGGCCCUCUCUCCUUGUAACACAUCGCCAAGCCCGCCUGCCUGCUGCCCUGCUCUCCACUAUGAUGGUCAUGGACUCCAACCCUCUGAAAC
Alexandromys fortis (reed vole) is the source of this 5779-nucleotide long non-coding RNA. RefSeq lists it as uncharacterized. The record is from RefSeq and is a predicted model, not a curated record. The transcript has 3 exons. NCBI's taxonomy places the organism in Eukaryota, Metazoa, Chordata, Mammalia, Rodentia, Cricetidae.